UUAAGAAAGAUACUACUAAGAUCAGAUUAUAUGCAACGCAUUCUAUUUAAAUAUUCUGUUGCAUAUUCUGCUGUUAAACUGAUUAAGUUCUCAUAAACUAAUUCAAAAUUAUGUGACAAUAACAAAAAGAACAGAAAGUAAUGAAUAAACAUUUCAAAUUGAAUUACCAGAGCAAGUGAAGCAAACUGCGCCAGUGAAGUUGCCGUCAACGGAGCACAGCAGGCAGCCGCGUCAAUGACAAUUCCAGCCGCUUGUGUUUCUCGACGAGCGUAAUGAGCAUGAAAUUGCAAUGCUGAAUUAUUAAAAUCUGUUGGUUCAUACAGAGGAGGAAACCUUUUCGGCAAGCAAACUUUGCCACAUCAAUAUUGACACGAAAUGUCGGCGACACUGAUUUUCAAACAAACACACACACUAAGCGCCACCCACUAAGAGCCACCACAACGAAACUGCCAGCUUAACGAAUGUGGCAAUUAAACUUGUGCACAAAAUCUCAUCGAUUUUUUGCGGUGACGGCGUUGCGCGUGCAGAAGACGGUUCUUUGUGCUUACUUUGUUUAUUUAUCCAGCAAUUAUUUCACUCGAUUGCGAACUUGAUUAGUUUCGGCAAACUGCAAUUCAAUUUACGCUAUGUACACAAGUAAACACAAUGUAAUUGAUUUGUAAAUAUGUGGCAGCACAGUUUCUAAAUAAAGUCGUAUUUUAUUAAAUUACAUUUGCGGUUUACAUUCGAUUUUCAGCAGCUGAUUUGGGAUUACAGCACAUAAAAAAAUUUAUUUUUAAUUAAUUUUCCAUUUAAAAUAGUUUUCCAUUUACAUUUUCACGCUCACGAUCACUUCAAAAUCAAUUUAAAGCCGCUGCUUGCUGUUGCCGCGUUCGCGUCUCAUUUUGGACUGUGGCGACCAAACAUUUGAGUCAACACGCAUGGACUUCAUAUUUUCAUUUAGCAAAUUUCCAACCAAAGCUCAGCUCUGACGCCGCCGUGUAUUAGUUUACCAUCAACCACCAUCGCCACAUUGGGGAAAUGCGUGCAUGGCAAGCCUAUGAUCGCUGCGGCUGUGUGCGGAGCGAUCUACAAAUUUCCACAGAGCUCGGCUUGACUCAUCCAAUUUCAACCGCCGCCAGCAAGCUAAGUUCACCUUCAGCGCUCCUCAGCUCCCUCUUCGCCAGCCACUACCACUGCAGACAUUAGCAAUGCUUGUUGUUGUUGCUUUUCGGUUUCGGUGUGGCAUUAUGAAGCGCUGAGUCUUUCUUGCCAAACACUCAGUGACACUCGUGUCAACUCGGUCGGUGGCAGCAUUACAACAUUGGCUGUUGACAGCGACGAAACCGAGCAGCAGCGCUAUAGUUGGCAGCGGAUGACAGUUGCUGAAGAGCGGCCAUAAAAAUAAAGCUGUUGUAAUUUGUUGCUUGUUUUUGCUUUUUCUUAAUUUUUAUUUUGAAAAUAUUCUUAAAGCACCGCUCUUCGGCUAAGCAUUCCAUUUGCUUUGUCCGUCUGCUCAUAAAUCACCAGCACGAAUUUUCACUUUUCACUCAUUACAAGAAAAAAAUUGUUUACAAAAAUACGCAAAUUGGCUUUCCCACGUUGUUUUUUCUAGUAGUAAUCGCUGCAUUCGAAGUUUAGUUCGUGACAUUUACAUGCUGGCGCGUGUGUGUGUGUGAAGAAAUACGUGUUUUCAACAAUUUGAAAUUUGCAUUAUGAUAAUUCAUAGCGUUUUUAUACGUUUCCAUAACUUUGCAAAGGAAAUUUGGUAAUCACGUAACAACUUAUUGAGGGGGAAGCGAGUUUAAUGAACCCAAGCGCCAACAGAUUUUUUGUAAAGAUGUUUUGGAUGAAACGAAAUUAUCAAAGAGAUUUAUCUAUAUAUUUGAAUUCGUUGUUGGCUUACAAAGUACUCGAUGACACUCAGCGUUAAUUUGAUUAAUUGGUUUUAUUUACACUUUAUAUUACUUUUUUACCAUUUUCGAUAGUUGCUAACAAAUUCUUUAUUUCUAUCAUAGAUUUAAAAUUUAAUUAGAAUAUUAUCACAUAUCCCAAAUCCCUGUGUCAAGCCAUACUAAUUUUGAUGCCUUGGCAUUAAAUAACUUUGUGAAAAUAGCUGAAAAACCGAGCUACACAAUACUCGAUUCCAUACGAAUCGUUGUAAUCGUUUAUCUAAGUUCAAAUACAAAUAAAGCGAUUAAUGUAGUCAGUUUCUGAAAGUGUCUUCAGAAAUUGAAAGAUAUGUAUAAAUAUUAUUUUAUUACUAGAUAAAAGUUUCCCCUAGGUUUCUCUCUAAAAUGUUGUUUACGUUUUGUGACAGAAAAAUGGUUCGAGUAGUAUUACCAUAAUAUUCAAAUCUAAACAGAAAAGUAUAAAAGACAUAAAUUGUAUAAAGACUAUGGAAGACCCGAUGAUGCUACAAGAAAAUGUAUAUACUUUAAAUAAAAUUUACGAAGAGGCUUUCAUGAAGCAUUCUUCAGAGAAAUGUUUUUUGUUUAACAUUAGGCUUACGAUAUUAUUCAUAUGUAUAUAUUGCCCUCAAUUCAAAUCGUAUACCCCACUUUAAUAGCGAUUACCUUUUGAUCUACCUUCUAAUUCAUUAAACAAUUUAAUUUGAUUUAAUAUAAAGAAUAUGUUUCCUCUGAAAUAUAACUUGGCGCAGCUGUCUACCAUUUAGCCAAGUUUAUUUUUGAAUACAAUCAGUUUUUAUUCAGCAGAGCUAUCGUUGCAACUCCAACGCGUUGCAGUAACUUGCUUAACAAACUGAAUUGUUUAUUUAUUGAGCUUCUGUGAAAAAUUUUGCUGGAAUAUUCUCCAGUAGGUGUAUUCCGCUUAUUCGAAACCAAAGCCUGCGAGACAUCAGCGUCAACAACGAGAGAGAGAAAAAAAUCAAAAAACCAAAACGUGGUAUGUGUGCAUUGUACGAGGUGUGUUCUAAAAAUAACUGUAAUUAUAUUAUAUAUUUAUUCAUCGUCUAUAUUAAUGUUGUCGUCUUUAAAAUAGUCUCCAUUCGAUAUUAUGCACUUAUGCCAACGCUUCUUGCAAUCGUCGAAGCACUUCUCAAACUCGAUUUUUGGGAUAGCCUUUGGCUCUUUCAGCAAUUUUAUGCUUGUAAAAUGACGGCCCUUUACGGUUCUCUUUAUUUUUGGAAAUAGGAAAAAGCCACAGGGUCGUGUCUGGCAAAUUUGGAAUAAAAAUGUUACUCAAAAAUAUCCACGGAAUUAUCCGACUGCCCUCUCAAUUGCUUUUAUAAGCUUUUAUCUGCAUAGAUCAAAUAAAAAAUAUUCUGCAAAUAUUGUAUUCUGCUGGCAAUUGGGGGCAUGUGGUUCAUAACGUGAAAACAACGAUACAAAUAUUGGCAAAAAAUUACAAAAAAAAUACUAACAAAAACAAUUUUGUAUAGAAUGCGCGCUGAACCGAACCAAAGAGUAACUAAGUGUGUGCUUACUAACGUUUGUUUAUGAGCCAAAUAUAGUACAUAUAAUAAAUAACAUAAUGUACAAGGUUCUAUAUUUCAAUAUGCGUAAUAAGUAUAUAUAGUAUGUACAUACGAAUAUAAAGUGCUCCGCAGUGAAAUAAGAAACUAGUUCGGAAAAAACUAGUAAACAGCUAUGCUAUUCUGCAAAUUAUUUCAGAUUUAUACCAAUUAGUUUUUAGAUUGUUUUCAGAAAAAGAACAUAGUUAAAUUUGCAAGAUUUUCCUAACUGAGCAAAUUGAAAUACUAUAUAGUUACAUAUACAUAUACCUGUUUUGAAUUUAUUUGGAAGCGGUAUAUUUCUGACAAUUCUCUUCUCGACGUACAUCUACACGAAAGAAACGCUACCUUAUAUGAAAAAUCCAACUGACUAGUUAAGCUUUGUACUAGUUGUUAAACGUUUUAUAACUAGUUAAUUUGACUAUAUGGUUAAUAAAUAUUUAAAUAUAUACAUAGAAAGUUUUUACAAGCAAUCACGGUUGUAAUGCACUCCAUUUGUUGCAAACACGUACUUGUGCAAAUACAAAGAUAUCUUUGUAGUGCUACAGCGCCUAAUACAUGUAAGUAUUUCUGUCCGCGCUGAUUUAUUGCCGACUAUUAUGCUGGUCAUUUCGGCUUUGCUGCACUCGAUGUUAUCCUGCGGGAACUAGCAGUACUUACUUGUAACUACGUAGAUCUUUAUCAAGUGUUUGAAAAAAAAAAAUAAAUAAAUGUGAAACUUUUUAUGUCUACCGAAAGUCCGCACAUUAUUUGGAAAAAUAUAUAUGUGGGAUUGAGGUAACCCCGACGUAGCUGGUAACCCUUAAAUACAAUACAUAAAGUCUACAUCAACGAGCACAAGAGAGCCGGAGAGUUUUGAGAGUAGACGCGAAGCAAGCAAGACGAAAAGACGCUCGACGAAAAGACGCGAAUACUAUCUUAUUAACUUUGAAUCUUUAAUCUAAAAUAUAAAUCGUUUUUGAAUAACUUUUACUCCUGAUUAAAACUUUACAAUAUCUAAAACUAUUCGUUUAUUCAUUGCUCAACCGAAUUAGUAAGCGUGAGUAAAAGCCCUACAUAUUUGGGGGCUCAUCCGAAAAAAAAAAAAAAAAAAAAAUUUUUUUUACAUGAACCGAUAGUGCGAAAAGUAUUUAUUUAAAUUGCCGCAUUUAUAUACGCCGCCGCGAGUGGGUUGAACGAUAUAAUUUUCAUUAGAAAUCAAAAAUUAAAGCGUAAAAUAGCAACAAUGACCAGUUUGCAAAAAUUUGAAUUUGUACGAGCAAAGCUGCGUACAGCCCGAAAAGAGAGCAUAAAAGCUCUGCACAAAUUUGUAUUCGAAUCAGAUGGAGACAGAUCGAGCAGACAACGUUUACGAGAAUUUACAGGAUUCCAAUUCGACGAGAACGACGACCGCUGCAAACAGAAGUUUGCAUACAUCGAAAACAAUUUGACGGCCAAUGAUCUAAAUUCAAUUUGUAACGUAUUGGGUUUAAGUGGCAAUGUAGCCGAUGUGAAGCUGCAUAUUUUUCGAAAUUUGCAGAACGCAACAUUGUUAUGUGCUGCAGCAGAAGGCGACGAGAACAGCGACGACGAAGACGAAGGUGGAGUUGACGACGAUAUCGAAAAUGAUGACGCAGAUAUUAUGCGUAGCUUUGACGAAACAGCAGCGAGUAAUAGCAUUUUCGAAUUACCACAACGAACGAAUGCAGUAAGCAGCGAGAAUAACCAAACACAUAGGAGAAAUGCGGAGAAGAACGUCGAGCUUGGCGAGAGAGCAGUUACAAAAACAACUACAUCGGUAACGCCGACACAAAUGUCACGAUUUGCAAUCAACUUUAGAGACGUCGAAGAUUCUGUUCGACAUUUUGACGGCAGCGAAAAUAUUUCUGUUGAAGUAUGGUUAAGCGAUUUUGAAGAGACAGCAAUUUUAAUGGGUUGGGAUGAACUACAAAUGUUUAUAUUUGCAAAGAAAUCAUUACGCGGUUUGGCUAAGUUAUUUAUCCAAAGCGAACGGGGAAUAACAUCUUGGCAAAAACUAAAAUCGGCAUUAGCAGAAGAAUAUAAAACUAUUGUUAACAGUGCGAAUAUACACAAACAAUUAAGCGCAAGAAAUAUGAAAGCAGAAGAGAGUGUACAAGAGUAUUUUUUAUGCAUGAAAGAGCUCGCGAUGCGUGGAAAUAUUGAAGAAAAUGUUCUAAUACAAUAUGUUAUUGAGGGUAUUCGCGAUAUUAAUAUAAACAAAACUGUUUUAUAUGGCGCACAUAAUUUGAAAGAAUUUAAAGAAAAAAUCAAAAUAUACGAAACAAUGCAAAAGUGUAAUAGGAAGAACAGUGAACUAAAAGUAGAUGAAAAGAAAGUAGUCAAAUACGAGAAAGAUAAGUUUACUUGCUAUAAUUGCGGUGCAAAGGGACACAAAAGUUCUGAGUGCAAAGAUAAAGAAAAAGGUACAAAAUGUUUUCAAUGUAAACAAUUUGGACAUAUUUCGAAGAAUUGCCCAAAAGCUAAAUCAACAAUUGACAAAAGUAAUACGCGAUAUUUAUGUGGAAAAAAUAAUAUCAUGAACAAAUUGGUGGUUAUCCAAAAUCAAAAAUAUAUUGCUCUGUUUGAUACAGGCAGCAAGUUUAAUUUAAUGACCGAGAGUGUGUACAAUUCUUUGGGUAAACCUGUGCUAGAACAAACAAACAUUCGUUUAGUAGGUUUUGGUGAACGAAAAUCUGAAAAUAAUAUAAAACCAAUUGGAAAACUAAACAUUGAAAUCGAAGUAGAUAAAGAACUGUUUCGCGUAAAUUUUUUGGUGGUAUCUGCCAAGUGUAUGGACAUUGACUUAGUAAUUGGUGAAGAGUUUUGUUCUCAAGCCGAAAUACACAUUAAUCGUGAUGGACUUUGCAUAAAGAAAAAUAGCUUGAAAAGUGAAGUGGUAUUUCCUAUGAUGAAUGUAGAGCUAACAACAACUGAUAUUGACAUUGACGAGAGUGCUAGUACGUUAGCAAAAGAAGAAGUGCGCGAUCUAGUAUGUAAUUAUAAGCCGGAGAAAUGCAAAUCAACAAACAUUGAAAUGAAUAUUGUGGUACGGGAUGAAACACCUAUAUCAUUUAGACCACGACGACUUCCAUUAACGCAGAGAUGUAUAGUGGAUGAUCAAAUAGAACAGUGGCUAAACGACGGUAUCAUCGAAAGUUCGGAAUCGGAGUUUAGUAGCCCUGUAGUACUAGUAAAGAAACGAGACAGUGAUUACCGAUUGUGCAUAGAUUAUAGGCAAAUUAAUAAAGUUAUAAUUAAAGAUCGUUUUCCGUUGCCAUUAAUAGAAGACCAACUAGAUCGUUUACAAAAAGCGAAAAUAUUUAGUACGAUAGACUUAAAAAACGGUUUUUUCCAUGUGCCCGUGUGUGAAUCUAGCCGCAAAUAUACAUCUUUUGUUACGCAUGGUGGACAAUACCAGUUUUGUAAAGUGCCAUUCGGUUUGUCCAACUCGCCUGGUGUUUUCCAAAGACACGUUAACGCAAUUUUUCGUGAUCUUUCGCGACGUAAUAUUGCAUUGCCGUAUAUAGACGACAUUAUAAUACCUGCCGAAAAUGAACAUGAAGCUAUGUGCAAUCUAAAAAUAGUGCUUAAUCAAUGUAAAGACUAUGGACUUAUGCUAAAUUUGAAAAAAUGUCAUUUCUUGAAAAAACGCGUAGAAUUUCUUGGCCAUGUUAUAGAGAGCCAAAAAAUUUCGCCGUCGCCAUCCAAAAUCGAUGCUCUGGAUAAGUUUCCAUUGCCGAAAAAUAUUAAACAGUUGCAGAGUUUCCUGGGUCUUGCAGGGUACUUUAGAAAAUUCGUACCUUCAUUUUCCAUAAUCGCGAAACCUUUGACUGAUUUGACUAAACAAGACAAAAAGUUUGAAAUAGGCGCCGAACAAAUAGCAGCAUUUGAGACAUUGAAGAAAAUGUUAAGCGAGAAACCAGUAUUGGGCAUUUUUAACCAGCAAUAUGAAACCGAAGUUCAUACUGACGCCUCUAUCGACGGUUAUGGGGCAGUACUCCUUCAAAUAAACCCUGAUGACAACCAGUUGCAUCCCAUUUAUUAUAGUAGUAAGAAGACUUCCGACGCAGAAAGAAAGUACUCAAGUUAUGAACUUGAAAUCUUAGCCGUUAUUGAAGCGCUGAAAAAGUUUCGAGUGUACUUGCUAGGCUUGCACUUUAAACUUGUCACUGACUGUAACGCCUUCACGAAAACGUUAGAGAAAAAGGAUUUGAGUACUAGGGUAGCUCGAUGGAUAUUAUUCCUCCAAGAAUACGAUUACGAAGUAGAACAUCGAAGUGGUCAACAAAUGAGGCACGUAGACGCCCUCAGUCGUCACCCAGUUAUGAUUGUAGCAGAUGCAGAUUUUCUAAGUUCCAUGCGACGUGCUCAGCAACAAGACGAAGACUUAAGAGCAAUUUCUGAAAUUAUUAAAGAAAAGCAGACAUACAAUGAUUAUUUCGAAAAAGGAGGCAUUCUUCAUAAGUUAGUUGAUGAUGUCGAAUUAGUUGUGGUACCGAAGCAUAUGCAGCGAGACGUAAUUAGACGUGCACACGAAAAAGGCCAUUUCGCCGUAAAGAAGACAAAGGAGCUAAUAUGUAAAGAGUUUUUUAUUCCAAAAAUAGAAGAAAAGAUACGCAUGCACAUCGCCAAUUGUGUUGCAUGUAUUGUCGCAAAUCGAAAGUUAGGGAAACAAGAAGGGAAAUUACACCCAAUUCCUAAAGAAGGAAUGCCGCUUCAUACAUACCAUAUUGAUUUUCUUGGUCCUUUGGAGACUACAAAUAAGUCAUAUAAGCACAUUUUCGCAGUAAUCGACUCGUUUACAAAAUUCGCAUGGUUAUAUCCAACCAAAACUACGUCAGCACAAGAAACAAUUAGCCGUUUGAAAUUACAAAAUACAACGUUUGGUAGUCCUGUUCAGAUUAUAUCUGACCGUGGAUCCGCAUUUACUUCCGACGAUUUUCGACGAUAUUGUGAAGAAGAAAAUAUUCAGCACACAACAAUAACUACCGGUCUACCUCGAGCUAAUGGCCAGGUGGAGCGAUUAAUUGGUGUCAUUACAAGCGUUUUAUCGAAACUGAGCAAAAGCGAUCCGACAAAGUGGUAUAAGUUUGUAGAUAGAGUACAACAGGUCAUUAAUUCUACUUAUAACCGAAGUAUCGACAUGACUCCAUUUGAAUUGCUAAUAGGCGUAAAGAUGCGAACAACCGACGAUUUUAACAUUAAAAACCUUAUACAAGAAGAAAUACGUCUACAAUAUCAAGAACAACGAGAUGAACUCAGACAACAAGCAAAAAAGCAGAUUUUGAAAAUACAAGACGAAAACAAAAAAACGUAUAACCUACGACGCAAAGAAGCUAAAAAAUACGAGAUUGACGAUUUAGUUGCUGUAAAACGCACGCAGUUUGGUGGUGGGCUCAAGCUAAAGCCAAAAUAUUUCGGUCCUUACCGUGUUGUUAAGGUAAAGGCCAACAAUUCGUAUGACGUUAUUAAGGCUGGCGUGUGUGAAGGCCCAAAACGAACUUCAACUUGUGCAGAAUUUAUGAAGCCAUGGGUAAAUUAUUCUGAUGAUGACGACGCAUUCGAGGGCGAAUGCGCAGCAGGAUGGCCGAAUUGUGGGAUUGAGGUAACCCCGACGUAGCUGGUAACCCUUAAAUACAAUACAUAAAGUCUACAUCAACGAGCACAAGAGAGCCGGAGAGUUUUGAGAGUAGACGCGAAGCAAGCAAGACGAAAAGACGCUCGACGAAAAGACGCGAAUACUAUCUUAUUAACUUUGAAUCUUUAAUCUAAAAUAUAAAUCGUUUUUGAAUAACUUUUACUCCUGAUUAAAACUUUACAAUAUCUAAAACUAUUCGUUUAUUCAUUGCUCAACCGAAUUAGUAAGCGUGAGUAAAAGCCCUACAUAUAAAAGGUGGCCUUGUUGUCCAGCCCAAAGUGUAUUGACAUACCCUUGUUAGACAAUAAAGUAGUAAACAAUUAAUGUAUUUGAUGGUUUAUUUUUUAUCUUGAACAAUAUAAUAUAUUUUGAUCAAAUUUGUUGCAAUUUGUCAGUUUGAGCACAAAACAUUGGUAAAUUGCUUCCAUGAGUUGUAUUGCACAAGCAGAAAGUAUUCGGCAUUUUCUUUUAUUCAUUCAAAAAAUAUUUUUUUGUUUGAAAUUUGUUUACUUUUGAAUUUUAACAUGACAUACAUGUCAAAUUCGGGUAAAGAAAAAUUAAAUGUCAUAUACUUAGUUGAGCCGAGCAAAGAAGAUAUGAUUAUUAGGUAAACUGUAUGGUUUAUGAAUAUUUUGGAAUAUUAGUAUUCGGAGUUAUUCUGAAGAGUCAAAGUUUCAUCUUCGAAAAAAUAAAAAAAAUUAUAUAAUAUAUCGAAAAUUACUGGACUUCUUACAACAUCUGUCAUCUAAGUUUGACGAAAAAGAAUUAAAUAACAUUGAAUUAAGAUAAAAUUUUAGAUUUUAUCUAUAUUUUGGAUUAGCAGCUAUAUCCUGUAUAAUCUUUAAUAAGACUUUUUUAAAAAGUCCUUUUUUCGAACUUCGAAUCCAAAUAUUUCGAUUUUACAGGCUAACUUCGAAAAUCGGAAAAUAUUGUUUUUACUUAUCACUCAAUCUGCCGGAAAAAAUUAGUUUGGUCUUACCCAUCCGAGAGUUAUGUAGUGUAAUAUAUAGAACUAACUUGAAUAGUAUUCUUUUCGAUUAUAUUUUGUCUUUUUCGAAUAUCAAUACGACUUGACAUGCUGUCAACAAUAUUUCUACAUAUUUCUUCUUUGAUAGCAUGCUAGGCAUGGUCGGUAUGUUUAUGGUCGUUACCUUGUUGCAAUAUAACGUCUGCCGUUUUUUAGUCCGAAAUUAAGCCUGGAGAUCUUAAGGCUACAAAUAAUAUUUUGAAUUCAUAGUUAGAACAAUUUUGAGAAAGAGCCCGACACCUUGGCUCACUAUGCAGCUCCACACCAUUAUGGAACCACCACCAAACUUGAGAGUUGGUUUAACAUCGUUCGGCUGUUGUUAUUCUGAAAAUAUAAUAAUUUCACCAAGAGUGAACAAUAACUUGACAAAUUCUAAUCGAAAUCGGAUGGACGAAGCUGCAGCGAACAUAAUCGUUAUGUAUUUGAUGGAAUUCCCUCAAGCAUUAAUAGAAGUCGAUUUCCAUUUGUUGUUGUCAUUUGCACCACUCAUUGUUGUGCAUUUGCUGUCAAAGUAAUUUACCACAAUACUACAACAACAAACACAUCACGCUGCAUCUAACACUUUGCAUAAUGCAUAAUAUGUACUCAUUACGUAUGUAAGUACACACAACAACAACUCAGCUGAAUGGCUUUCAAUGGGGCAUUCAACAGGUGCGAGUGAUUGCCGAGUAAUUAUGAGACUGAUGUGGAGGAAUGCCCACAACGCUCGCCCCCCCUCUACCACACACACAGACACAUUUAACUUUUUAUUUAUGUUUGAGUGUAUGUGUUGGUAAAUAUGUUUGGAGAUUUCUGUAGCCACUCUUCAGUGGAAAUUCCGCGCUUUAUGCUUUUCAACGUUUUGUUACAUUUCAAACGGCCGACAGCGCAGUUGACAGCGGCACGACUGAAUAAACAAACUUCCUGUCGCCGUUGCUCAUUCAUUCGCAUUCAAAGGGCCACCACCGGGUGGAUUGCGUAUGCGACCUGUUACAUACACACACACACUCGCAUACAUACCUAUAUCCAUACAGAUGUACGCUUUUAUGACGCAGUGCGAAACAAAAGCGCUUCCGGCCCUAAAGAUUGCUUUGACUGAGUGGAAAUUAUGUGCUUAAAUGUGUGAAAAGCGGCGCAUGCCGCAACAAACACACUCACUGGUAUACUCACAGGUGUACUCACAUCAUACAUAUGUACGCUUUAAGGCACACACGGGCAUUUGAGCACGAUUUCGUAUUAUACGCGUAUGCGGCUAUUAAUUAUGCAUAUGAGUAGUAUGUUAUGAGCCAACUGUUAAUUUUUUGUUUUUUUGUUUUUUUGUUUUGGUGGCAUGCAACAUGUCAUUGAUGAUUACAGCGAUGAUAACUGUGGCGAAAAAUUGUGCUGUUUGACUGAUUGUUCAUUGUCGUUGCGGUAAUGUCGCCUUGAAAAACAUUUUUCAGUUCGUUUCACUUGCUGCUCCUGCACAAAAGCCUUUGCCAGCUACAAUCACCUCUGCAGAACUACAUACAUACAUACAUAGAUGCUAGGCGGCCGGCAUGGCUUUGCUUGGCUAUGAUACCUGUGCUAAAAUCGUUUGGAUAAAUAUUCGGACCACAGUUGCCAAUAUAAUUGAAAUUAGCUCUUUGCAAAACAUAAAAUGGAUAUAUUUGAGAAGCGUCAGCAUCAAACGAAAACGGUUAUGGCUGAGUGGCGAUGAGACGGCGUAAGACCAGAAUUAAUGGUCAAUAAGGUUUCGUUAAAUGUUUGAAAGGGGAAUGGGAUUGGCAGGCAGGGGCGAAUUUUGAUACUUUUCUGCUGAUAGAAUUUAAUUUUUUGAAACUAUGAAAAUGUUAAACUAAAAACAAACCUAUUGUAUCUGGAUAGUAUUAAAAAGUUGUGGGAAUGUAGGCCAAUUAAAGAACCCAGAAAAAUAUAAACUGGACUUUGCCUUAUAACUCUGUGGCUGCUGAACUGGAUUUUUUUAGAUUUAAGGGGAAUUGUGAGUCGAAAAUGGACUUCUUUUGAAAAUUAGUUCUGAACUGAAAAGUCACCAAUAAUUUCUAUUAUUUUUUUAGAGUUUAUUGUUAAUCAUAACACAGGAAAACUAAAAACUCAUUUAUUAUGACUUUCAGUUUUCGUUCCAUGAGCAAACUGUUGUGAAAUAAAUUUAAAUUAAAAAAAAUUAUGCUAUUUGCAAAAAAAUACUUGAGUGCCUUAACUAAAAUGUCUAUAUUUUUAAUAAAAACAACCAGAAACAAGUAAGGAAAGGCUAAGUUCGGGUGCAACCGAACAUUUUAUACUCUCGCAAUUUAUUGAAGAAAUUUAACCAAUACAUAUAUGCGGAAUAAAGCUCACCGUAUUUUUGAAAAACCUAUAAUUAGGUAUAUGGGAGCUAGGAGAAGUUACUUUUGAAAAACCUACAAUGAGGUAUAUGGAAAUGUUAUGACCCGAUUUUAAAAAUUUUUGGAACAGAGACACACUAUUAUAAGAAAACAAUUUCCUCUGAAUUAAAUUGAGAUAUCUGAGAGAUUUACCCAUAUUUUCGGUUAAAAUGUAUAAUUAGGCGCUGAGUUCAUCAUGUUCGAUAUCUGGGGCCUUGAAAAGUUCGUUUUCGACAAAUUUUUCGCAAGUGAAGCCAGAGAUGAUAUGCACUAAUUGUGUAAAGUUUUUUUCCGUUAUCUACGUUCUUGAGAUAUGGUUUUUGACCUAUAAGUGGGCGACGCCACGCCCAUUUUAAAUUUUGUAAACAAAUCUGAGUACAGCUCCCUUCUGCUAUUUCUUCUGCAAAAUUUAGUGUUUCUGACGUUUUUCGUUAGUUAGUUAACCCACUUUUAGUAAUUUUCAACCUAACCUUUGUAUGGGAGGUGGGCGUGGUUAUUAUCCGAUUUCAACUAUUUUCAUGGUGUGUAGUGGGGUAUGUAUGAGACCCGACUGCAGAAAAUUUGGUUUAUAUAGCUUUAUUAGUUUGCGAGUUAAAUACAAAUAACCGAUUUGUGGGCGGGGCCACGCCCACUUCCCCAAAAAAAUGGCAUCCAAAUAUCUCCCCUCCUAGUGCGAUCCUUUAUUCCAAAUUUUACUUGUAUAUCUUCAUUUAUGGCUUAGUUAUGACACUUUAUGUGUUUUUGGUUUUCGCCAUUUUGUGGGCGUGGCAAUGGUCCGAUUCUGCCCAUUUUCGAACUUGAUCUUCUUAUGGUGCCAAGGAAUAUUUGUGCCAAGUUUCGUCAAGAUAUCUUAAUUUUUACUCAAGUUACAGCUUGCACUGACGGACAGACGGACAGACAUCCGGAUUUCAAAUCUACUCGUCAUCCUGAUCACUUUGGUAUAUGUAUAUGACUCUAUAUCUAACUCUUUUAGUUUUAGGUGUUACAAACAACCGUUAUGUGAACAAAACUAUAAUACUCUCGUAGCAACUUUUGUUGCGAGAGUAUAAAAACUGGUCUGAAUUAGAUACACAACUUUACUUAUUAUUUGUUUUUCAAAUGAAAAUUUUCAAAACAGUGCAUCGUUUUUUAAAGAUUGGAGCAACAAUCCAAUCAAUUCGCAGGCUUAAAACAUAUUUAAGAAAUAAAACUGGAGAAACACGCCUGAACGGAAGGGCUCGCUUGAAUAUCCAUAGAGAUAUAGACGUGACGGAGGAAGAGAUUUAAAAUGUUAUGGCCCAAAAUAAAAGAAGAUUAGACUUGAAUUUGUAAAUAAAAUAAUGAAACAUUGGCUUUUUACCUUAUCUCAGAACUGCUCAACCAAAUUCGGUUCGAACUAUUUCUUUGGCAUACCAAUGCUAUAGUUUGAAAACGGGCGAAAUCGAUUCACAACCACGCCCUCUUCCCAUAUACCACAAUUUUGAAGUCUAAUUGUUUCGUUCACUUUACAAUAUAUAAUUAAUUUCUAAUGUGGCAUAGGCAUAAUAAAAAUCGGACCAUAACUUUUCAAAGCUCCUGAAAGAACCGAAGUUUGCGGCUAAUUUUUUAUUGAAAAUAUAGGUAAAUAUCUCAGAUAUGCUAAAGUAAUUCUAAAGAGAUAUGUUAUCUUUAAUAUUGUACCUCUGUGCCAACAAAUUACAAAAUCAAGUCAAUAUCUCCUCUAGCCCCCAUAUACUUCAUAUUCGGAUUUUCAAACUUCAGGUGGAUUUUAUUUGAACGUUAUAUCGGUUAGUAUGUGAGAUAUAUUAGCAAAAUUAAAGAACGUAAAAUUUUGAAUAAUGUAGAUUGGUUACAAUUGAAAUCGGUCCAGGUAUUACCCCAGGGCCCAUAUACUAUAUAGACCUAUUUUCGUUAUUCUUGUCGCUGUGGUGUUUUGAAUCAUUAGGUUGAUUCACAUUGCACACAUACUUAAGCACAGAGUAUCACUUGCUCCCGCAGCUGACUCUAAACACUUUACACUUUAAUUGCGUGCUCCCUGACCCAUCUUUCGCAUUAUGACGAUAUUGUAUAAUAGCACAAGAUUUUAAGCUACAGUCGUCUCAUUGAACUCACGGUAUACACUCAUAUUAGUACAUAUGUAUUUGUAUGUACGUACAUAUGCAUAUGUAUGCAUGUAUUUAUUAUGCUAGUGUAACUGAUGCGGCUUGUUUGUGGCCGGGAAGGUCGUUUUAAGCUCUUGCAACAUUCAUUUUUAGCUCUUUCAUUCCAUCUUUAUUUGCAUGUCAUUGUGUUUUUAGUUACUUUAAAAUUAUUUUAACAAUUUUACAUAUACAUACUACAUUAGCGCAUACAUACAUAUGUACAUAGGAGUGACGUAAUGCAGCAUAGAGUUCAUUUGGAUGCGCGUAGUUGCGUUUGCGCGCUGCUGAUCCAAUUUGUUUGGCACCUCUUUUAUGAGCUCUUCGUUUUGUUUUUGUUUUUCAUUGAAUCACUGCAAUUGUCAUUUCAUCGCUUUUGGCAUGAAAAAUUGCCUGUGCUGCAAUAAUUUGGCUCGAACAUUAGCACCACAUAACAUCUACACGCUGUUAUGCGAUGGGUCUCUAUUUAGUUUUAUUAUCCGCCUUUUAAACACCUAUCACUGCGUUGUUGCGGAAGUAUUAAAUGCUAUUUUUGGUAUGAGGCAAGCAUAUGUACAUACAUAUUUUCAAAAGUUUGUUUCACAACUACCCAAAUGGGUCCGGCCGUGGAAUUUCAUAUCUGUGCUGGAGAUUUAGAAAGUUAAAAAAAUCAUAUACUUCCAAAUCUUCAUUCCUUAAUUAAUUCAUACAAAUCUUUUCUACUUAGAUUCUAUUAGAUUUCUUUAUUUUUUACUCUCCCAACAUGUUGCAAGGCGAGUAUUAUAGUUUUGUUCAUAUAACGGUUGUUUGUAAUUCUUGAAACUAUUGGAAAGAUCGGACCACUGGAAAAUAACCACGCUCACUCCCAUACAAAGCUUAUGCUGAGAAUUACUCAACGGAAAACGACUUUACGUUCGGAAAAUUAAAAUUUAGAUAAAAAAUUAAAAAUGGGCGUGGCUUAAACUACUCGACCAAUUUAAACAAGAUUUAGUACACAAUAUUAACUUGACACCCUAAUAUUACGGAUGGAAAAUGGGCUAAAUCGGUUAACAACCACGCCUACUUCUCAUAUAACACAAUUUAGAAUUCUCUCUGUUUCAAACAAUAAAAAUAUCGGAAUAAAACUUUGUUCAAUACUGCUUGUGCACUGUGGCAUCGCUCACUUAAAAAUUAUCGAAAUCGGACUAUAACUUUUCAAAGUCCAGAUAUCCAAAAAUAAUCAGUGCCUAAAGAUAACAUUUAAACAAAAAUAUCGAUAAAUCACAGAUGUUUUACAGAAAUUCAGAGAGAUGUACUAACUAACGGGUAAAACUCCACAUAUUUGAAGUUUCAACCAGAUAUCAUUAUACUGAAAAUUAAUUCCAAAAUGAUUAUUUUCCAUCUUUCGGUUUACCUUUCACCAUAAAUAUCAGGUGGUGAAUAAGAUAGCCCAACUUAGUUCGAGAACUUAAACAUAUAAUAAUGGUGUCCUCACCUUCCGUUCGCAAAGAUAUGCCCGAUAUAAUAAUUUUCGACCUUAUCCUUGACUACAACAAAAUAAGUUGCGUAAUUGUACGAUCACCUUAGUGUCUAUCAGUUGCGAGGCAACAAAUAUUAUUUGUCAUUUUUAAAACUUCAAAUAAUUUUAUCUUUCCUCAGAAGAUCUUUUUGUGUCAUACUUCAAGAUUCAAUAUUUUUACAACACUUCAAAUAAUUUUUGUUUUGUUUCAAAAUGUCUUUUGCUAUUCAAUUUUUCUGUAAUUGCAAUAUGUCAAUGUUGCGACGGGUUCUGUAAAUCGUUUUUUUCUUUUAUUGUAUGAAUUUCGUUGUAUUAUCCUUAAAGAGAGUGAAGUGCGUGACAAAUCUGAAGUUGGAAGUGAUCUAAAUGAAAAGAUUAAUUUACGCAAUUGGACUACAAAAAAUAUUCGACUCUUUAAUAAAACGGAAAAUAAAUGGAAAAGUUCGUUUCUUUGAGACUAUAGACAUAUCUAAACUUAAAAUAUCAAAUAUAUCCGAACUCAUGAUAUACAAAAACCAAAACAAAUGGCAAUCCAUUGCCAAGAAUUGUCAACUUUUCGUGUCAACAGCGAACCCUUUUCGUGUUUCAAGAAAGGCCAGUGGAAGUAGAGGUGGCUGUGAAAAUGGAAAUGGGAAGGGAGGAGAUGAAAACCGUGGAAAUUAUCGAUAUUUUAAAAAAGCAGGUAAGUGACGUCCAAAAUAGUUGUCUCUUGCAGUUUUGCUACAGACAGCAGAUGCAAAAGUGAAACUGCAAAUGAAAAUGCA
RNA transcript from Zeugodacus cucurbitae (melon fly), 16819 nucleotides. It is a transcript of the gene named calcium uniporter protein, mitochondrial, with no coding region annotated. Lineage: Eukaryota; Metazoa; Arthropoda; Insecta; Diptera; Tephritidae. The record is from RefSeq and is a predicted model, not a curated record. The transcript has 3 exons.